Molecule: non-coding RNA, 45 nt
Filed under: Schistosoma haematobium
Lineage: Eukaryota; Metazoa; Platyhelminthes; Trematoda; Strigeidida; Schistosomatidae
Source: RNAcentral
AUCCGUCUGACGAGUCCAAAAUAUGACGAAACGCGCAUCCUUGAU